UUAAGUCCCAUAACGAGCGCAACCCCUACCUUUAGUUGCCAUCAGGUUAAGCUGGGGACUCUAAAGGAACUGCCUACGCAAGUAGUGAGGAAGGCGGGGAUGACGUCAAAUCAGCACGGCCCUUACGUCCAGGGCUACACACGUGCUACAAUGGCCGAUACAGAGGGCAGCUACCUGGUGACAGGAUGCAAAUCUCCAAAGUCGGUCUCAGUUCGGAUCGGAGUCUGCAACCCGACUCCGUGAAGUUGGAUUCGCUAGUAAUCGCGCAUCAGCCAUGGCGCGGUGAAUACGUUCCCGGGCCUU
Molecule: ribosomal RNA, 303 nt
Filed under: uncultured Sphingobacteriales bacterium
Lineage: Bacteria; Pseudomonadati; Bacteroidota; Sphingobacteriia; Sphingobacteriales
Description: bacterial SSU rRNA
Rfam family: Bacterial small subunit ribosomal RNA
Source: RNAcentral